Homo sapiens (human) is the source of this 2013-nucleotide long non-coding RNA. Lineage: Eukaryota; Metazoa; Chordata; Mammalia; Primates; Hominidae. The record is from Ensembl.
GGAAAAUAAAAGGAGAAAGAAAGAAACCCUCACCAAUUCCCUGGGAAGCAUUUGCAAACAACAUCUCAUUGAACAAGGAAUGCAUGCAAGGUUCACGCGGGUGGCAGGCAGGGUAGUAAGUGACCUCAUUUCUGUUGCUGACACGGGCCCACCUGCUGCCAGGCGUGGCAGAGCAAGCCGCUACACGGGCCUCGCCAAGCGGGAGCUUCUGCCCAGCAAGAUAUUUCUUCCUGGAAGGAAGCACUGAGGCUCAGCCAGACCUGCAGGGAUCUGAAGAGCAUUGUUCUUUCCUGUUUUAACAUCCCAGGUCAACAGCCAUUCCCCAGUGACUGCUGAGUCCAGGGCUCUGAGCUUCCAGCUGAGAAAGCAGAUGAAAAAGCCACAAACCUGCCUUGAGAGGCUGGUGGUCUGGAAGGGGAGAGGACACAGAGAACAGACAAUGGAAUCAGUGCAGGAGUGAUGAGGGAAAAAGGAAGGACCACCUGAGGCUGACAAGCCCUGGAACCCCAACCCUCCAUUUACCGAGAAGUGCCUAAAGGUCAUGGGUGGCAUCCUGGGUGGUGAAGCACCUGUUACUUGGAAGUACUAAUGCUCCAUGGUCGUCAUCACCUUGCCAAGCCUAGCUCCUCCUAGGUCCAUGGUUGGAUCUGCAUGUCCCAGGAAAUAUUUACUCUGCUCUAAUUACGUGAUGGGUGCCGUGGGAGUACAGCGGUGAACUUCAAAAGACAGUUUCUGCCUUCAAGGAUCCUCCACUGGGGACACAGAUAAUAAGGCUGUCUCCUGAAUGCUGGAGCAUUUUCUCGUGGGUAACCAUGCAUCAAACAGCAAUGAGAGAAGGACCUGAAUUCAUGCUGAUUUUCACUUGCCUUAAUGUAAAACAGGAUUGCCUGCAUUUCAGAUUUUGCUAGUUUAUCUUGCACGGCCAAAGCCCCAGUUAUCUCUGCUUCACUAAGUCUUGAGAUUGGUUUGGAACUUGAACAUAUAUUCUUCAAAACCAUUAAAAGUGGUUUAAUUGGCUGUUCAGGGAUGUCUUCCACUCUCCUCUUCAAAUGGAUCAUCCCUCUCUGUCUCUCCCAAGAACUGGGAACUAGAAGCUCCUCGCCUGGAUGAUCCAUUUCCCUGGAUUUAUUUAUCUUGCUCUGGGCCCCAGAAGCAUUAGGCUUCGCCUAGCAGAUCCAGCCUCUCUUCGCUGCUGCACAUCCAAAUCCUACUUCAGACACCCACUGUAGCAAAACUACAGCCCUGGAUGAAGGAGCAAUGCCAGUCAGCAUCAUCCAAGGAGAAGGUGAAUGUAAUGACUGAUUAACGAACGAAGACUCCACCUUCUCUUCCUCUCGUGGAUCCCAGCGAACUUCCAGGGCAUGGGUUGGCAUAGGUUUGAAGAAGGUUUCUCGGCCUCUGCACUGUCUACAUUUUGGGCCCGCUGAGUCUUUGUAGUUGGGGCUGGCCUGUGCAUUGUAGGAUGUUUAGCAGUUUCCCUGGUGUCCACCUACCAGAUGCCAGUUGCACCUACCAAGUUCUGACACCCAAAAUGUCUUCAGACAUCGCCAAAUGUCCCCUGGGGGACAAAAAUCACCCCUGGUUGAGAACCACUGGGUUGGAAUACAAGCCUGAAAAACCGCUCCCAGUCUGCCAGGUAAGUGACCCACACUUGCUUUACAAAACCCCAUGCACGGAGCAACAGAACCUUGGGACCUGGGACUAAGCUUGUAGCUCCGUGUUGAAAGCCUGCAGCGUCACUUGCAUUUUAAAUCAAGGCUCGGUGGAGAUUCCAGUUACAGCCUGCAACUGCAUCUGCCUUGGGCUUCCUCCUAAUUUUAACCAGCAGCUGGAUUUGCAUAGGACAUUUGCAUCUGAAAUUACCCAUGAUUCUUUGGGAGCCAUAGUCUACAGCAGAUGAUGGCAAAAAAUAUAUAUAAUUCCAUUUCAGCUUGCAAAGUAGGGGGGAGGAAGGAGAUGAAGACUUCAGGGAGGGAGGGUACUUUAAGAAAAUUUCAGUGCUUUAUAUAAUUG